UACGAAGGGGGCUAGCGUUGUUCGGAAUUACUGGGCGUAAAGCGCACGUAGGCGGAUUUGUUAGUCAGGGGUGAAAUCCCGGGGCUCAACCUCGGAACUGCCUUUGAUACUGCAGAUCUCGAGUCCGGAAGAGGUGAGUGGAAUUCCUAGUGUAGAGGUGAAAUUCGUAGAUAUUAGGAAGAACACCAGUGGCGAAGGCGGCUCACUGGUCCGGUACUGACGCUGAGGUGCGAAAGCGUGGGGAG
RNAcentral lists this ribosomal RNA (245 nucleotides) under uncultured bacterium. RNAcentral describes it as "partial 16S ribosomal RNA". It matches the Rfam family "Bacterial small subunit ribosomal RNA", at positions 524 to 768 of the family's 1533-position model. The record is from RNAcentral.